CUGCGGUGGGAAAUGGCCUUUAAGCGUCUGUGUGUAACCUGUCUGUGUGUAUAACCUGUUUCUGCGUGUGCUUUGUCUGUGAGCGUGCGUAUAUGUAUACUAUGUGUAUAUAAGUAUAUAACUGUACAUAUAAUCAUAUAAUUGGACGCCGGAAGGUGCCUUGCAUAGUUGCAUGGGAACUUUUCAAAGAGUCCCGUUCGUACCUUGCCGUUUUGGAUCUAGCUUUCAAAUGUGUUAUACAGGGUGUAUAAAAAAAAACUGAACAGAUUUGAAAUUGCUCUCAAUUUCGCAAAACACCUAUUUGUAUCCGGUUUUUUAUAUAUAUAGCUUCUUUGGGUACUUGUAAUGUAGAAUAAUGAAAAAAAUAUCUCGAACUUAAAUUUUGUGAACCAGGGGGGGGGGUGUCUUUUCCAACAAACUAAAAAUGGCUCGCGCAC
Non-coding RNA from Paramuricea clavata, 437 nucleotides. NCBI's taxonomy places the organism in Eukaryota, Metazoa, Cnidaria, Anthozoa, Malacalcyonacea, Plexauridae. The record is from the annotation of a GenBank genome assembly.